Mandrillus leucophaeus (drill) is the source of this 2751-nucleotide long non-coding RNA. RefSeq lists it as uncharacterized. The transcript is spliced from 13 exons. NCBI's taxonomy places the organism in Eukaryota, Metazoa, Chordata, Mammalia, Primates, Cercopithecidae. The record is from RefSeq and is a predicted model, not a curated record.
GGAGAAACCUGCCGCCGCUCGCCGCCUCUUUGUCUGCUCCGGGACUUGGAACAAAAGGGGGAACUCUGAUGAACUCUCUUUCCUCCCCUCUCCCCGGACGCCGGGGUAUCUCUCUCUCGCAACUUUGCCGCCGCGACUUUCUCUGCUGUCAGGCCAGGAAAAAGUGUCCGAACGCCUCGCGGACUGCAGCGGGGGAAAUGUCCCUUAAAAGUGCGACGAAGUGGGGAAGAAGGUGUAAUUACUAUUAUCAGCAUCUAUAAAGCAUCAUGCAUUUGCUGGAGUACUUCCUAGCACUGACCUCCUUCCUUCUGCGUUGUUCUUACUGGAUCUUUCUAUCAGCCAACAAUAUGGAAGUACCAAUACAAGGUCAAAUCAUUCCUGGAUUCAUCUGGAGUUACUUAACAGUUAAAUCAUUGGAAGUUUUGGUGAUACCUUUUCUAUAUGGAUUACAAUUUGAUCUCUGGGAAUUCUCCACCGUAAAAAAGUACCCUCAGGUGACUGCAGAUGUGUUAACCAGCAUGUUCGCGUAGGAGACUUUCUGGAUGGGGAAGAUUUCCAGGAAUCUACAACAAUCUCAUUUUACUGGUGGGUUUGCUGAAGCUUUAUCACAAGACAGUCAGAAUGAUUGAUGAGUGUUCUUCAGGUGUGAAUCAUGGCAAUACAGUGAAAGACGGUGAUUUACUGCUUUUGAGGGCAUGCAUGGAUAUGAUUAACGGAUGGAAGUGCAGGACUCCAAGAUUUACUUCUUUCCCUUUCCAGCAGAGUUACCUGAGAGGAGUAAAAUCUGCUGGUGGAGUCACUCCAUUAUUCUUAUCUGUGGAGAUCUAGAUCUUGAUUUGAAAGUUUCUGAGAAAAUCUUCAGCUCAGACUUGAGGUCAGCUUUACCAACUGAAGGAUCUGCAUUUACUGCUCAGCCACAACUAAUUUGAUGCCCUCUGCAGAUUUAAAAUGUGUGCCUUCUUUUCCAUCACCAAGUCAUCCCUGGGUUACUACUGAACAUCUUUUUCAAUUCCCCCCGACCCAUGGAUGGCUGUUCUCCACUGUCUAUUUCACCAGAUGUCCUCAAAACAAACAGACAGAAGAAGGAAGUGGCUAAUGGAGCCGUGGAGUCCAAGUGUGACUGCCAAGAGGAAUCCAGCAAAGCCAAAGAGCCCGAGCAUGUAGCCCUGCCCGAAGCCUGCCACACGCAUGGAAAACCCAGAGGAAAUGAGUGAGGAUCAAUGGGAAGAAGGGAGCCAGCCAGGAAGUUGAAGAUUUGUCCAAGAGCAGAUAGCUGAAGAGAGAGAGAAAGAGAGAACAGCUUACAGCUCAGGUCCUCUCUCCAUGCUUAGGAACCACUACAAAUGCUAUGGUCUUGAGUCUCAUUUUGUUUCCCUCUGGAAACCACAUGUGCACUUUGUUGGCGACAGUAUGGUUCUUGCUCUAUCAUGUAGGCUGGAAUGCAGUGGUGUUGGUGUGAUAGAGGUCAGUGCAGUCUCAACCUCCUGGGCUCAAGUGAUCCUCCCGCCUCAGCCUUUUGAGUAGCUGGGACCACAGGCUCACAGGCCGAAGGAAUUUUCCUUGUCUUGGAUGAGACUUUUGACUUGGACUUUUGGGUUAAGUUCUGGAGGCCAGAAGGCCAAAAUCAAAGUAUGGGCAGGCUUGAUUUCUUUAGAAGACUCCAAGGGAGAACUGUGUCUCCUCGCUUCUGAUUCUACAUCUCCAUCCAUGGGCCACUGUUUCAGGAAUCUCAGCUAGUGCAACACAACCUCAACCAACAAGAGUAUGCAGAGAAAGGAGUCCCCUACCUGCCACAAAGCUGUUGUCUGAAAACUAUCUCAUAUUGUCUCAAGUUGUCAUUCGGUGUGAAUUAGACCUUUUUAACAUGUAAUCUGCAACAUGCUUCAUUGUCUAAUUUUCCACAGCCCCUCAUAUAAGAAACUGUAUUAUUGGUAUAAUCAUCAUGGUGAGGAAGUUGAUAUGUGGGGGAGAGAUGACAGGAGCAGAGAGUAAGUCAGAGCUGGCUGCCUGACAGAUAAAAAGGAAAUGCCAAAAAAAAAAAAAAAAAAAAAAAGACACAGAAGAGGACUUAGUUGACCACACAGAAAAGGAAAGUACAGGUAAGACAGCAGUAGACUAAGAUUCGUAAGACUCAAGUUCUAGUCUUAUUUAUUAGCUAUGGGAGGCCUUGAGAGAGUUCUAGAAUUAAGUGAUCUCUCUUUAUAAAGUAGGAACAGUAAUAACUUCCCUGGCUAUCUCACAAUGCUGUAGUAGUAAGAAAUAAUUUUAUAAUUAAAGACUAUUUUAGGGCUGAUUACAUUUUUGGGCAGUGGCUCAUGCAUGUAAUUUCAACACUUUGGGAGGCCAAGGUGGGCGGAUUGCUUGAGCCCAGGAAUUCAAGACCAGGCUGGGCAACAUAGACCUUGUCACUACAAAAGAAAAAAAAUUAGCUAGGCAUGGUGGCAUAUGCCUGUGGUCCCAGCUACUCAGGAAGCUGAGACAGGAGGAUCGCCUGAGCCUGGGAGGUCAAGGCUACAGUGAGCCAUGAUCAUACUACUGCACUCCAGCCUGGGAAACAGAGUGAGACUCUGUCUCAAAUAAAGGAAUAUUUUACACUUCAAGGUUCUAUACAAAUGUAAAACAUCAUUCUAUUACAUAUUUAUAAUGCUGAUUAUUCUUUAAAUGACUUUAAAAUGUUAAUCUCUGCUAAGCCCACAGAGAAGUAUAUAACAAAUUGGUGAAGUAUUGGCAUUAAAGAUAGUCAAAAUAAAA